UACUGGACAAUGGGCGCAAGCCUGAUCCAGCCAUGCCGCGUGAGUGAUGAAGGCCCUAGGGUUGUAAAGCUCUUUUAGUGGGGACGAUNNUGACGGUACCCACAGAAGAAGCCCCGGCUAACUUCGUGCCAGCAGCCGCGGUAAUACGAAGGGGGCUAGCGUUUUUCGGAAUUACUGGGCGUAAAGCGCACGUAGGCGGACAUUUAAGUCAGGGGUGAAAUCCCGGGGCUCAACCCCGGAACUGCCUUUGAUACUGGGUGUCUUGAGUUCGGAAGAGGUGAGUGGAAUUGCGAGUGUAGAGGUGAAAUUCGUAGAUAUUCGCAGGAACACCAGUGGCGAAGGCGGCUCACUGGUCCGAUACUGACGCUGAGGUGCGAAAGCGUGGGGAGCAAACAGG
This 397-nucleotide ribosomal RNA is filed under the name uncultured bacterium. Its description in RNAcentral is "bacterial SSU rRNA". It matches the Rfam family "Bacterial small subunit ribosomal RNA", at positions 362 to 776 of the family's 1533-position model. The record is from RNAcentral.